CUACUGAAUCAAAAUCAGCAUAUUUAGCAAGAUCCCCAGGUGAUUUCGCAGGCACAUUAAAGGUUGAGAAGCCACUGAGCCAGUCUAGAGUACUAGGGAAAACCUGAGCGCCCUCCUGAAACUUGUUUUUCAUCUCGGUCGCUUUGGAGUGCUCAUUCUGAAUGUUUCAAUCCCAAAGAUCUGAGGAGUUUGAGUGUAUCAAGUUUCAUGCAUAAAACGGUGAAAUGCCCCACUGAGAAAAUCUUUCUUGGCCUUGAUCGUGUUGUUUUUCUUGGAGUAUACAGGAGUAAAAAUUCAAAACCACACCAGGUUAAGUGUUAUUCAGGGUUUCCUAUGUGUCCUGGACCCUGGAAAUAGAUGGAUAAACAAGACAGACAUGGUCCUAGACCUCCUGGAGCUUACAGUCCAGUGGGAAAGACAGAAAAUGAACAAUUAACAGAAUGGCCUUUCUUUUGCUCAGCUGUUUUAAAAUCAUUCUACCUUUCCCAAAGUGUUGACCACGGAAGGUCAAAGAGGUCACCUCUCCCCGGGGUAUUUGCAUUUUGAUGGGGACUGUACAAGACACCGAAGAAUAAGCUCACGGAAAGCUUUCUGACACUGUGUGGGGAGAGCAACUACUCCACUUACUUGAAAGGCUAGUUUUGUUUGGAGGCAAUUUUUUUCCUCAAAAGUGUUAAUUGUCACCUUUAUUUGGAAGCCGAGAUUAAAUAGCCUGCCCCUCCAUCCUUGCUUGAUGCAUUCUGGAAAAGGAGCUCAGUUUGCCAAGAUUACUGCCAGGACUGACACAUCCACAGAGUAGAUGGUAUGGCCUCCAUCCUCCUACAAUGCUGCCAAAACAGGUUUCUCUUUAAUUAUAAUAAAAAAGCUAAGUCCACUUUGGGGCAGGGAGCUUGAUGGCUUAAGGGCAUCAAAGGAGCAGCUGGAAUGGUCUGUUUCUGUCGGGUCUUCUUCCUCUUCCGUCAAUCACAGUAGGCAUUGGGAGUGAUUUUUGUCCCUUCAGACAGGAGACAUGAAAUGCAAAACUUCAUGGGCAGAAAUGAAGCCUAAUUUCACUUCAUUCCUCCGCACCUCCCCCUUGUCAUGAAUCUAGAGGCAACUCUGUUAAUUCUGACUCUGGUUAUCCUUCCACACAGCCCAGAACCAAGGUAGCACCAGCAGCAAUGAUAGGGACCUGGGCUGACUGGCUUCAAAAUAGAAUUGUAAGCGGGUCUCCAAGAGAAGGAGCCCUGACUUUGCCCAGCCGUGUCAUUCCUUUAUUGCCCCAAAAUGCUGCAUAACAAACAACCAUAAACUCUUGUAGCAUAUAACAAUAAGUUUAUUGCUCGUGCAUCUGGGAUGUAGGCUGAGCUCAUUCAUGUGUCUGGGGGUGGGCUGGCUGUUGCUUGGGGGGACUGAGGCGACUGGGCUCUAGUCCACAUGUCUCUCAUCCUGCAGUAAGCCAACCCCAGCAUGCUUGCGUGGGAAUGGCAGAGGGGCAAGAGCACAAGGGGAAACAUGAAAGACUUCUUUAGAUCUAGUCUCAGAAUUAACACACUCUUGUCUGCCUUAUUCUGUUGGCAAAUCACAGGAGGAAAUAUAGGGUGUCUUUAGGGAAUGCCAAAGUUACAUGACAAAAGGUGUAUAUACAGGAUGAGGUUGAAGUAUUGGGGUUCCUAGAGGUUUCU
Molecule: long non-coding RNA, 1664 nt
Organism: Equus asinus (donkey)
Lineage: Eukaryota; Metazoa; Chordata; Mammalia; Perissodactyla; Equidae
Source: Ensembl